RNAcentral lists this ribosomal RNA (253 nucleotides) under uncultured bacterium. RNAcentral's name for it is "partial 16S ribosomal RNA". It matches the Rfam family "Bacterial small subunit ribosomal RNA", at positions 524 to 776 of the family's 1533-position model. The record is from RNAcentral.
UACGUAGGGGGCUAGCGUUGUCUGGAAUCAUUGGGCGUAAAGCGCGUGUAGGCGGUCCGGUAAGUCCGCUGUGAAAGUCGGGGGCUCAACCCUCGAAUGCCGGUGGAUACUGUCGGGCUAGAGUGCGGAAGAGGCGAGUGGAAUUCCUGGUGUAGCGGUGAAAUGCGCAGAUAUCAGGAGGAACACCAAUUGCGAAGGCAGCUCGCUGGGACGUUACUGACGCUGAGACGCGAAAGCGUGGGGAGCAAACAGG